CCUACGGGCGGCAGCAGUGAGGAAUAUUGGUCAAUGGGCGCGAGCCUGAACCAGCCAAGUAGCGUGAAGGAUGUCUGCCCUACGGGUUGUAAACUUCUUUUAUAAAGGAAUAAAGUGAGGCACGUGUGCCUUUUUGUAUGUACUUUAUGAAUAAGGAUCGGCUAACUCCGUGCCAGCAGCCGCGGUAAUACGGAGGAUCCGAGCGUUAUCCGGAUUUAUUGGGUUUAAAGGGAGCGUAGAUGGGUUGUUAAGUCAGUUGUGAAAGUUUGCGGCUCAACCGUAAAAUUGCAGUUGAAACUGGAGGCCUGGAGUGCAUAGAGGGAUGCAGGAAUUCAGGGUGUAGCGGGGAAAUGGUUAGAUAUCAUGAAGAACUCCGAUCGCGAAGGCAAGUGUCGGGGGUGUAACGGACGCUGAGGCUCGAAAGUGCGGGUAUCAAACAGGAUUAGAUACCCUUGUAGU
This 459-nucleotide ribosomal RNA is filed under the name uncultured bacterium. Its description in RNAcentral is "partial 16S ribosomal RNA". It matches the Rfam family "Bacterial small subunit ribosomal RNA", at positions 338 to 794 of the family's 1533-position model. The record is from RNAcentral.